GGGAAGUCCUGAUGAGGAGUCUCUGCUGAUCUCCUCAUUAUCUGUCGAAACUUCUGACACUAUGUUGGAACUUCCGACAGGCCUCGAGGGUAUAAAUAUUCCCCUGCGCUGGCCCUCAUCCCUAAUGGCUCUUUUCUAUUCCAAACUAGCACCCCCUCCUCCCUACUCUCCAAUCCUUGGGAGAUGUUGAGUUUGGACCGUGAACCUCUCAACGGAUCAUCUCCAUUGGAUUCCUCAAGUCUUGGAACCUCCGAUCCAUCUUUUCAAACUCCCAAUCCACGCGGGGAAACUUCAAGGUAAAUCUUUUAAACUCCCCAUUGCCCGAUAUCAUAAUGUCAUAGGAGUUGGAGGCUUAUCUCUUAGGAAUCAUCUCUAGGUUGAUCUUAGAUGCUUCUCCCAAAAUAUCUCAAAGUUUGGAUGGAUGAAACUCAAGUUCCAUGGAAUUACUGUUCGUUCGGGCUCUGUUAGAACUUCCAAUAGAGUAUCGGAUCGGAGUUCAAAUACUAUUUUGGAAGUUCUGAGAAGAGUCUGUCAAGUCUUAAAUCCUUAUCAACC
Molecule: long non-coding RNA, 555 nt
Filed under: Setaria viridis
Lineage: Eukaryota; Viridiplantae; Streptophyta; Magnoliopsida; Poales; Poaceae
Description: long non-coding RNA (SVIR_LNC000549)
Source: RNAcentral